RNAcentral lists this long non-coding RNA (579 nucleotides) under Elaeis guineensis (African oil palm). Its description in RNAcentral is "long non-coding RNA (EGUI_LNC010262)". Lineage: Eukaryota; Viridiplantae; Streptophyta; Magnoliopsida; Arecales; Arecaceae. The record is from RNAcentral.
GCUCCUAAAAUCUGUCUAUUAUCUUCCUUAUCUCUCUUUGCAAAAUAUGCUUAAUAAGAUAAUAUUUAGUUAAUAGAUCUCUUUCUCAUUAUUUUAUUUUUGAUAAAAAAAAUCCUCUAUAUAAAAAGAGAUGGUGCAUAAUCCUCAAAUGCCAGUGAAAGCAGAAUCUAACUCCAAUUCAUAUGGUACAAUUAUCAAAAACUAUACCAGAUAUGCAAGAUAGCAUAGUCUCCUUCUUUCUCACUUCAACAUGAAUCUCUAAUUGGAAAAGAGCAAUAGUACGAGACUCCUGUUGUAUGCAUAGAUAAUUCUCUUGUCAUUAUAGCAGAAAAAUAUUUGCACAACUUCUAAUAUUUAUUUCCAAACACAAGGCUGGUUAAUUAUGGAGCUAUCACAUCUAUGAUUGUGGGUCCGAUGAACUUUUUAAAGUGUUUUCAUUUUUAUCUCUAUAUCAAUCCUAUCUUCUUUUGAUUUAUAUUCUCUUUUAGCAAUCUCUUUUAAAAGAAAUUUCUUUAAAAGAGAUAAAGAUCUAAGAUUAAUUAAAGGAGAUUGAGAGAAGAAGUCAAGGUUAGGACCUGC